UGUGCCAGCCGCCGCGGUAAUACGUAGGGUGCGAGCGUUAAUCGGAAUUACUGGGCGUAAAGCGAGCGCAGACGGUUACUUAAGCAGGAUGUGAAAUCCCCGGGCUCAACCUGGGAACUGCGUUCUGAACUGGGUGACUAGAGUGUGUCAGAGGGAGGUAGAAUUCCACGUGUAGCAGUGAAAUGCGUAGAGAUGUGGAGGAAUACCGAUGGCGAAGGCAGCCUCCUGGGAUAACACUGACGUUCAUGCUCGAAAGCGUGGGUAGCAAAC
This 270-nucleotide ribosomal RNA is filed under the name uncultured Neisseriales bacterium. RNAcentral's name for it is "partial 16S ribosomal RNA". It matches the Rfam family "Bacterial small subunit ribosomal RNA", at positions 504 to 773 of the family's 1533-position model. The record is from RNAcentral. Lineage: Bacteria; Pseudomonadati; Pseudomonadota; Betaproteobacteria; Neisseriales.